GAAAUCGUACGUAGAGUGUAAAGGCAAAAGAGAGCUUGAUUGCAAGACAUACAGGUCGAGCAAGGAUGAAAAUCGGACUUAGUGAUCCGGUGGUUCUGCGUGGAAGGGCCAUCGCUCAACGGAUAAAAGCUACCCUGGGGAUAACAGGCUUAUCUCCCCCAAGAGUCCACAUCGACGGGGAGGUUUGGCACCUCGAUGUCGGCUCAUCACAUCCUGGGGCUGUAGUAGGUCCCAAGGGGUGGGCUGUUCGCCCAUUAAAGUGGUACGCGAGCUGGGUUCAGAACGUCGUGAGACAGUUCGGUCCCUAUCCGUCGCAGGCGUAGGAAAUUUGAGAAGACCUGUCCUUAGUACGAGAGGACCGGGAUGGACGUACCUCUGGUGUACCAGUUGUCCUGCCAAGGGCAUGGCUGGGUAGCUAUGUACGGAAUGGAUAAGCGCUGAAAGCAUCUAAGCGCGAAGCCAACUUCAAGAUAAGAUUUCCCACCGCAAGGGUAAGACCCCAGAAAGACUAUCUGGUUGAUAGGUCGAAGGUGUAAGUGCAGUAAUGUAUUUAGCUUAUCGAUACUAAUAGGUCGAGGACUUGACCAAU
Molecule: ribosomal RNA, 589 nt
Filed under: Clostridioides difficile
Lineage: Bacteria; Bacillati; Bacillota; Clostridia; Peptostreptococcales; Peptostreptococcaceae
Description: partial 23S ribosomal RNA
Rfam family: Bacterial large subunit ribosomal RNA
Source: RNAcentral